ACUCUGGAGCCCGCCAGCUCCAGAGAGCAGGGCUUGCUGAUCUGUCCCCUCUCGCGCCCUGGCUUGUCUGUCACACAGGACCCCCGCCAGGCGGCGUGCGGGACCCUCCAACGCUCCGAGGCUGGAACCCGCCGUGGGUCAAGCAACAAGUAGCAGCGACUGGCCGGAGCGGUGGUGACCCGCGCGACGAUACCUGGCGAAGGCUUUCGGACUGCAGGCAAGGGGAUGAGUGCCGAGCAGGGGGUCCGCGCCCGGACUCACUGGCUGGACUGUCUUCCCGCCUUGCUCCCCUUCCUUCUCAAGAAAGAAAGUCAAGAAGUCUGGACUGUGUAUUAUGACAACAGUAUGCAUGGCUGUUACCCGGAAGAUGGCUGGUCCACUCUGAAAUGUGCUGCAUCCCUUCCAGUUUCUUUACAUUACCAGUAUAAGCUUUAUUUUUUGCUGGAAUUUGGACAAACUGCUUAUAUCAAAGGAUGGUCCUCAGUUUAAGCCAUGGUUCUCACCACAGCAGAACAAAUGGAAACCAUGGAAAUAGAACCGAAUUCUAGACCAUAAAAUACCAUAUGUGAAUUGAAUAUUCACCAUAUUGGAAAUGUCAAAAGAAAAGAUAAUUGAAUUUGAAGCUAAACCAAUAGAAAUUAUUUGAUCUGAAGAACAAGGGGAGGAAGAUUAGGAAACAACUAAGCAUGUCUUUAGUAACUUUUGCACAAGUAUUAAGUUUUUUAAAUAUAUAAUUACAGUCCUAGAGGAACAACAAAUUUAAUCGGGUAGGAAAAAAUCAAGACUAAUAGUCAGUGGAUGACGUCAACUUUCACACCCAAAAAAGUUAACGUAGGACAAAUUUUAAAAAAACUCAAUCUAGACACACUGUAAUUGGACAGAGACAAAAAGUCUUGAAAUUAAUCACAGAAAACUGAC
This 918-nucleotide long non-coding RNA is filed under the name Cavia porcellus (domestic guinea pig). Its description in RNAcentral is "lncRNA (ENSCPOG00000037804.1)". The record is from RNAcentral. Lineage: Eukaryota; Metazoa; Chordata; Mammalia; Rodentia; Caviidae.